UAUCGGAUUGAUACUAAGCCAUGCGAGUCAUUGCAGUAAUGCAAGGCAGACGGCUCAGUAACGCGUAGUCAACCUACCCUAUGGACGGGAAUAACCUCGGGAAACUGAGUAUAAUGCCCGAUAGAACACUAUUCCUGGAAUGGCUUGUGUUCCAAAUGAUUUAUCGCCGUAGGAUGGGACUGCGGCCUAUCAGUUUGUUGGUGAGGUAAUGGCCCACCAAGACUAUUACAGGUACGGGCUCUGAGAGGAGUAGCCCGGAGAUGGGUACUGAGACACGGACCCAGGCCCUAUGGGGCGCAGCAGGCGAGAAAACUUUGCAAUGUGCGAAAGCACGACAAGGUUAAUCCGAGUGGUUUGUGCUAAACGAACCUUUUGACAGUCCUAGAAAUACUGUUGAAUAAGGGGUGGGCAAGUUCUGGUGUCAGCCGCCGCGGUAAAACCAGCACCUCAAGUGGUCAGGAUGAUUAUUGGGCCUAAAGCAUCCGUAGCCGGCUCUGUAAGUUUUCGGUUAAAUCUGUACGCUCAACGUACAGGCUGCCGGGAAUACUGCAGAGCUAGGGAGUGGGAGAGGUAGACGGUACUCGGUAGGAAGGGGUAAAAUCCUUUGAUCUAUUGAUGACCACCUGUGGCGAAGGCGGUCUACCAGAACACGUCCGACGGUGAGGGAUGAAAGCUGGGGGAGCAAACCGGAUUAGAUACCCGGGUAGCCCCAGCUGUAAACUAUGCAAACUCAGUGAUGCAUUGGCUUGUGGCCAAUGCAGUGCUGCAGGGAAGCCGUUAAGUUUGCCGCCUGGGAAGUACGUACGCAAGUAUGAAACUUAAAGGAAUUGGCGGGGGAGCACCACAAGGGGUGAAGCCUGCGGUUCAAUUGGAUUC
Molecule: ribosomal RNA, 876 nt
Filed under: uncultured archaeon
Lineage: Archaea
Description: bacterial SSU rRNA
Rfam family: Archaeal small subunit ribosomal RNA
Source: RNAcentral